UACAGAGGUCUCAAGCGUUGUUCGGAUUCAUUGGGCGUAAAGGGUGCGUAGGCUGCGCGGCAAGUCAGGUGUGAAAUCCCGGGGCUCAACCCCGGAGCUGCACUUGAUACUGCCGUGCUCGAGUACUGGAGAGGAGACUGGAAUUUACGGUGUAGCAGUGAAAUGCGUAGAUAUCGUAAGGAAGACCAGUGGCGAAGGCGAGUCUCUGGACAGUUACUGACGCUGAGGCACGAAGGCCAGGGGAGCAAACGGG
This 253-nucleotide ribosomal RNA is filed under the name uncultured bacterium. RNAcentral describes it as "partial 16S ribosomal RNA". It matches the Rfam family "Bacterial small subunit ribosomal RNA", at positions 524 to 776 of the family's 1533-position model. The record is from RNAcentral.